CUGGGGAGGGGUGUCCAGCACCCAGCACCCCGGGGGCAGGACGGGGACUGGCCAGUGUAAAAAAUACCCUUGGGUGAGGAUUAACAACAAAAGCUCAUCCUAACAGCAGCAGCUGUGGGCAUGGCUGAGCUCAGCUCCAGGUCCUUCACAAGCUCAUCCCCUCAGACCCGAGAGGCGGCGCCUCAGCCGGAGCCCGGCUCCGAGAGAGCUCAUCAAUAGCCUCCACCCCAAAUCCCAGUGCUGUCCAGGGGGCAAGUGAACCAGCCUCCGCCUGUGCCCAGGGUGCCGGGCCCUCGCACCCAGCCCACAGGAGCCAUCACAUCUUCACCCCUCCUGGCAGGAACCAGGCUGGCCACCAUUCGCAUGAAGGAGCUGAGAUGAGCCAGGAUCUACACGAAGAGGCCUGGCAUGGGGAGAUCGGGUCAUGGGGCAUCUUUGCUUGUUGUUUCUAAUAAAUUUCUUUACGGAAGUUCCGAUGUAAAGCAGAACGGGAAGUAGCCAGAGGCCUGGGAGCUCCCCUGGCCUGUAGUCCUGCCCCAAGUAAGUGAAUGUCCAAUGUGGAGGGAGCCGGGUGGCAUGCGGUCCCGCUUAGCGGAGGCAGCAGGAGUGGAGCCCAGAGCUGGAGAGGGGGACGCU
Myotis myotis is the source of this 636-nucleotide long non-coding RNA. RefSeq lists it as uncharacterized. The record is from RefSeq and is a predicted model, not a curated record. The transcript is spliced from 3 exons. Lineage: Eukaryota; Metazoa; Chordata; Mammalia; Chiroptera; Vespertilionidae.